GUGUCAGCAGCCGCGGUAAGACGAACCGUGCGAACGUUGUUCGGAAUCACUGGGCUUAAAGGGCGCGUAGGCGGCUUGCCAAGUCAGGGGUGAAAUCCAGCAGCUUAACUGUUGAAGUGCCUUUGAUACUGGCGAGCUCGAGGGAGGUAGGGGUCUGUGGAACUUCUGGUGGAGCGGUGAAAUGCGUUGAUAUCAGAAGGAACGCCGGUGGCGAAAGCGACGGACUGGACCUCUUCUGACGCUGAGGCGCGAAAGCUAGGGGAGCAAACGGGAUUAGAAACCCCUGUAGUCC
Molecule: ribosomal RNA, 292 nt
Filed under: uncultured bacterium
Lineage: Bacteria
Description: partial 16S ribosomal RNA
Rfam family: Bacterial small subunit ribosomal RNA
Source: RNAcentral